UACGGGGGGGGCAAGCGUUGUUCGGAAUUACUGGGCGUAAAGGGUGCGUAGGCGGCCAUGUAAGUGGGGUGUGAAAUCCCUCGGCUCAACCGAGGAACUGCGCUCCAUACUGCAUGGCUUGAGGGAGACAGGGGUAAGCGGAACUGAUGGUGGAGCGGUGAAAUGCGUUGAUAUCAUCAGGAACACCGGUGGCGAAAGCGGCUUACUGGGUCUCUUCUGACGCUGAGGUACGAAAGCUAGGGGAGCGAACGGG
RNAcentral lists this ribosomal RNA (253 nucleotides) under uncultured bacterium. RNAcentral's name for it is "partial 16S ribosomal RNA". It matches the Rfam family "Bacterial small subunit ribosomal RNA", at positions 524 to 776 of the family's 1533-position model. The record is from RNAcentral.